AUGGCGGGGAGUCGUCGCCCGGGGCUGCAGGGAAGGCCUCCCGGAGGAGGCGGCCUGCAGGCCGGGGUCUCGCAGAGCGGGAGGGGCGUUGCAGGGGCUGCAGGGGCUGCAGGGAAGGCUUCCCGGAGGAGGCGGCCUGCAGGCCGGGAUCUCGCAGAGCGGAAGGGGCGUUGCAGGGGCUGCAGGGAAGGCUUCCCGGAGGAGGCGGCCUGCAGGCCGGGGUCUCGCAGAGCGGAAGGGGCGUUGCAGGGGCUGCAGGGAAGGCUUCCCGGAGGAGGCGGCCUGCAGGCCGGGGUCUCGCAGAGCGGAAGGGGCGUUGCAGGGGCUGCAGGGAAGGCUUCCCGGAGGAGGCGGCCUGCAGGCCGGGGUCUCGCAGGGCGGAAGGGGCGUUGCAGGGGCGAGGGGGAAGGGACUUGUAAUUGCAACGGCCCGGGCAGGCCCCCCCGCCCCGCGGAGGCCGGGAGCCGAGGCUCGGCAGGGCGGCGUGGGACGGAGACCGCGUGGGACGCGGCCCGCGGGGCGGCCUGGAGAACACGUCACGGGAAGUUCCGUAGGAACCGGUCACCUGGCCAAGGGGACGACUCGGGAACUGCUAACCUCCGACCGGCCUUGGGGUCGGAGCCGGUGCGCCCCGGCCGCCUGGCCCGCCCUGUGCCGCCCCCUGCCGGCGCUUCGGUGAGCGGCUGGGCGCGCGCUCGGGGCGGGGGCCGGGGAGGGCGGGGCUCCGGAGCCCAGCGCGGCGAUUGGUCGCUCGGCCUCAGGUGUCCCCGCCCCGACCAACCAGAGAGGGGGGCGGGGCCUCGCCGCAGGCUGUGGGCGGGGCGGCAGGGCCGAAGGCUCGGCCCAGGGCGGUGGGCGGAGGGCGGAGGGCGGUGGGCGGUGGGCGGUGGGGAGGGCGAGCCGCGCCCGCUCCGGCCUCGCGAGAUCCCGGGCCCCAGCGCCCCCAGCGCCCCGGAGCCGCGGCUCCCCGCUCCUUCCCCACCCAGCGGCCCUCCGAGCUCUCUGGGGAUAAAGGCCCAAUCCUUGCCAGGCCCCAGGCCCUUCGGAUCUCGGCCCUGCGGUGACGCCUGUGGCCUCGAAUUUCCCGCCAGCUCCCCCGGCCUUUGGCCACCUGCUCCCUCCAGCCCCAGGCCUCUACCCUGGCCUGUGACCUCUGCUCAGCCUGCCCUUCCCGCUGCUCCUCCUCCCGCUGCUCCUGGCUUGCUCUGGCUGACCCUCCAGACCCUGCCGGCGUAG
This 1236-nucleotide long non-coding RNA is filed under the name Canis lupus familiaris (dog). RNAcentral's name for it is "lncRNA (ENSCAFG00030006501.1)". The record is from RNAcentral. Lineage: Eukaryota; Metazoa; Chordata; Mammalia; Carnivora; Canidae.